UACGUAGGGGGCUAGCGUUAUCCGGAAUCACUGGGCGUAAAGGGCGCGUAGGCGGUCUGUUAAGUCUGGCGUUAAAGCCUGGGGCUCAACCGGGGAGGGUCGUCGUGAACGGGUGAGCUUGAGGGUAUCAGGGGCUGGUGGAAUUCCCGGUGUAGUGGUGAAAUGCGUAGAGAUCGGGAGGAACACCUGUGGCGAAGGCGGCCAGCUGGGAUACACCUGACACUGAGGCGCGAAGGCGUGGGGAGCGAACGGGAUUAGAUACCCCUGUAGUCCCUGAGCGGGCUGG
This 286-nucleotide ribosomal RNA is filed under the name uncultured prokaryote. Its description in RNAcentral is "partial 16S ribosomal RNA". It matches the Rfam family "Bacterial small subunit ribosomal RNA", at positions 524 to 819 of the family's 1533-position model. The record is from RNAcentral.